AACCUCCGCAAUGUGAGAAAUCGCGACGGGGGGAUCCCAAGUGCCAUUCCUAACGGGAUGGCUUUUCAUUAGUGUAAAGAGCUUUUGGAAUAAGGGCUGGGCAAGACCGGUGCCAGCCGCCGCGGUAACACCGGCAGCUCUAGUGGUAGCAGUUUUUAUUGGGCCUAAAGCGUCCGUAGCCGGUUUAAUAAGUCUCUGGUGAAAUCCUGUAGCUUAACUGUGGGAAUUGCUGGAGAUACUAUUAGACUUGAGACCGGGAGAGGUUAGAGGUACUCCCAGGGUAGAGGUGAAAUUCUGUAAUCCUGGGAGGACCGCCUGUUGCGAAGGCGUCUAACUGGAACGGUUCUGACGGUGAGGGACGAAAGUUAGGGGCGCGAACCGGAUUAGAUACCCGGGUAGUCCUAACCGUAAACGAUGCGGACUUGGUGUUGGGGUGGCUUUGAGCUGCUCCAGUGCCGAAGGGAAGCUGUUAAGUCCGCCGCCUGGGAAGUACGGUCGCAAGACUGAAACUUAAAGGAAUU
This 521-nucleotide ribosomal RNA is filed under the name uncultured bacterium. RNAcentral's name for it is "bacterial SSU rRNA". It matches the Rfam family "Archaeal small subunit ribosomal RNA", at positions 345 to 866 of the family's 1478-position model. The record is from RNAcentral.